UAGAAUUUAGUUAAUAAUAUAACAUUAAUUUGUCAUUUUAAAGUAACUCAAAGUAAUUCUAA
RNAcentral lists this transfer RNA (62 nucleotides) under Echinolaelaps echidninus. RNAcentral describes it as "tRNA-Asp". Lineage: Eukaryota; Metazoa; Arthropoda; Arachnida; Mesostigmata; Laelapidae. The record is from RNAcentral.